ACUCCACAUCACAUUUUUAGGAUCUGGCCUUGCUGGUGGUUGCACGUGUGUUUGUUGCUUCUCAGUAAUGCUGAGUAUUCUAUAGCGCACAUUCCCCUAGAAUCAGAUAGCUAAGGUUACCCUCGGCUUCUCCCGUGAAAUUAGCACCACAAUCAAGCGCACACUGUCACCAUAACCGUCCUUGUAAUGUGUCUAUUUAUGGAAUUCCAUAAUCCACCUACAGUGCAUGUAAGUUCUAAUUUCCAGAUGUCCUUGCCAACACUUGCUGUUAUUCACCUUUCUAGCUUUUGCCAUCUUGAUAGGUAUAAAGUAUUAAAAUGAGUUGACCAUUUUUCUGAGUUUCUGAUUUCUUGUCGAUUUGCAUUUUUGGUAUAAUCUAACUAUGGGUCAUUGGCUAUUAUUUUGGACACUCAAAUAUCUUCUUCAAAUCUGUUGCCCAUUAGCUAACUGUAGUGACCUUGAUGUUAAGAGAUCUUGACUUUUGCUAUAGUGAAACAAAUACAUAUUCUGGCCUCACUUAACGUUCUGGGAGUAUCUUGUUUAAUAAGUCUUUCUCUAACCCUCAUGCACAGAUAUCAUUUCACAUGUUCUUUUAUUAGCUUCAUAGUUUUAUUCUUCACUUUUAGGUCUUUGUUUCACCCCGUAAUACUUUGUACCAUUUCCUAGAGUUUGUCUUGAAUUUAUUUCCAAUUGUGUCCUCAACCAGGUGUAAAGUCUUGGAAGGAGAACUAUGUUACAUUCCCCAUCCAAGCCUCAGAUUUGCCGAGCCUUAACCUGACUGACCUACUUGCCUGUGCUCAUGUUGGUGGCAUUCCUUCCCUCCAUUCUCAGUGAAAGAGGUAUCACUCUUCCUGUCUCAGGUCAACCUUUUGUGCAUCUGAGUGUCUCCUUCCAUUCCAUCCUCCUCAGUGACUUCUCCUCUGUCUUGUAAGCUCUCUCGCUGUCAGCACAUAAACAUGCUUAAGUGUCAACCCCCCCUUCUCGUGGAUAUUCCUCUGGCUCCUUGUCUCUUGACCCCAUUCACUUGUCAUUCCUUUCACUGCAGCUGGCUUUGCCUCUGCCCGUUGAUGGCACUGACCCAUCCUCAUAGAAGCCUCAGUCAUUUCCACUUGCCAGGUUCAGCAGUCUCCUGCACUCAUCAGGCCCACCCUGAAGGGCAUGUGAAAUGUUAUGACCACCCUUCUUGAUUUUUGAUUUUUAAAAUGUUUUUGGUUUUGUGAUAUUCCCCUCUCCUCAUCUUCAUUUUGUCUCUCUAACAAUUCCCAGAUCAUUUUCAGUGAUUCCUUAGCCUCCACAGCAUCCAAGAUUAUGUCCACACCGAUGGCUUUCACCACUUUUGCGUGACGAUGAUACUGUACUAUGUCUCCAUCCCAGGUCUUGCCCUUAGCUUCAGACCCAUAUUUUCCACAGCCAACAAGAUGGCCAGUUGUCUUAGGGACACAUAACAUUAAAAGUGUGCUAAACCUAGGCCGGGCGCGGUGAUUCACACCUGUAAUCCCAGCACUUUGGGAGGCCGAGGUGGGCAGACCAUGAAGUCAAGAGAUCGAGACCAUCUUGGCCAACAGGGUGAAACCCUGUCUCUCCUGAAAAUACAAAAAUUAGCUGGGCGUGGUGGCACGUGCCUGUAGUCCCAGCUACUCAGGAGGCUGAGGCAGGAGAAGCACUUGAACCUGGGAGGCGGAGUUUGCAGUGAGCCGAGAUCACAUCACUGCACUCCUCCAGCCUGAGAACAGAGCAAGACUGUCUAAAAAAAAAAAAAAAAA
Molecule: long non-coding RNA, 1763 nt
Organism: Macaca fascicularis (crab-eating macaque)
Lineage: Eukaryota; Metazoa; Chordata; Mammalia; Primates; Cercopithecidae
Source: Ensembl